AGCAGCCGCGGUAAUUCCAGCUCCAAUAGCGUAUAUUAAAGUUGUUGCAGUUAAAAAGCUCGUAGUUGAAUUUCGGGAUCAGCAGGUUGGUCGUGCCAAUGGUAUGCACUGGCCUUGCUGAUUCCUCCUUCUUGAUGAGCCGUAAUGCCAUUAAUUUGGUGUUGCGGGGAAUCAGGACUGUUACUUUGAAAAAAUUAGAGUGUUUAAAGCAGGCAAGCGCUUGAAUACAUUAGCAUGGAAUAAUGAAAUAGGACGUUCGAUCCUAUUUUGUUGGUUUU
This 278-nucleotide ribosomal RNA is filed under the name Glomeromycota sp. RNAcentral describes it as "partial small subunit ribosomal RNA". It matches the Rfam family "Eukaryotic small subunit ribosomal RNA", at positions 569 to 852 of the family's 1831-position model. The record is from RNAcentral. Lineage: Eukaryota; Fungi; Glomeromycota.